AACGCACGAGACCUGCGGACCUGCGGAAGGAUCAUUACCGAGUGCGGGCCCUCUGGGUCCAACCUCCCACCCGUGUUUAUUGUACCUUGUUGCUUCGGCGGGCCCGCCAUUCUGGCCGCCGGGGGGCUUGCCCCCGGGCCCGCGCCCGCCGAAGACACCCUCGAACUCUGUCUGAAGAUUGUAGUCUGAGUGGAAUUAUAAAUUAUUAAAACUUUUAGCAACGGAUCUCUAGAUCGGAAG
Molecule: unclassified non-coding RNA, 240 nt
Filed under: soil metagenome
Description: partial contains 5.8S ribosomal RNA, internal transcribed spacer 2, and large subunit ribosomal RNA
Source: RNAcentral